RNAcentral lists this transfer-messenger RNA (352 nucleotides) under Escherichia coli. It matches the Rfam family "transfer-messenger RNA". Rfam says of the family: Bacterial tmRNA, also known as 10Sa RNA or SsrA, is named for its dual tRNA and mRNA-like properties. Its role is to liberate the mRNA from a stalled ribosome. Lineage: Bacteria; Pseudomonadati; Pseudomonadota; Gammaproteobacteria; Enterobacterales; Enterobacteriaceae. The record is from RNAcentral.
GCUGCUCAUAAAUCUGGUAUAAACCCAAGGUGCAUGCCGAGGGGCGGUUGGCCUCGUAAAAAGCCGCAAAAAAUAGUCGCAAACGACGAAAACUACGCUUUAGCAGCUUAAUAACCUGCUUAGAGCCCUCUCUCCCUAGCCUCCGCUCUUAGGACGGGGAUCAAGAGAGGUCAAACCCAAAAGAGAUCGCGUGGAAGCCCUGCCUGGGGUUGAAGCGUUAAAACUUAAUCAGGCUAGUUUGUUAGUGGCGUGUCCGUCCGCAGCUGGCAAGCGAAUGUAAAGACUGACUAAGCAUGUAGUACCGAGGAUGUAGGAAUUUCGGACGCGGGUUCAACUCCCGCCAGCUCCACCA